CCUACGGGAGGCAGCAGUGAGGAAUAUUGGUCAAUGGGCGAGAGCCUGAACCAGCCAAGUCGCGUGAGGGAAGACGGUCCCAUGGAUUGUAAACCUCUUUUGUCGGGGAGCAAAAAGACCUCGUGAGGCCUCAAGUGAGAUUCCCCGAAGAAAAAGCAUCGGCUAACUCCUUGCCAGCAGCCGCGGUAAUACGGGGGAUGCGAGCGUUAGUGGGAUUUUUUGGGUUUAAAGGGUGCGUAGACGGACUGGAAAGUCAGCGGUAAAAUCGAGAGGCUCAACCUCGUUCCGCCGUUGAAACUGUCGGUCUUGAGUGGGCGAGAGGUAUGCGGAAUGCGUGGUGUAGCGGUGAAAUGCAUAGAUAUCGCGCAGAACUCCGAUUGCGAAGGCAGCAUACCGGCGCCCGACUGACGCUGAGGCACGAAAGCGUGGGUAUCGAACAGGAUUAGAUACCCGAGUAGUC
This 460-nucleotide ribosomal RNA is filed under the name uncultured bacterium. RNAcentral describes it as "partial 16S ribosomal RNA". It matches the Rfam family "Bacterial small subunit ribosomal RNA", at positions 338 to 795 of the family's 1533-position model. The record is from RNAcentral.